RNAcentral lists this small RNA (602 nucleotides) under Pan troglodytes (chimpanzee). Its description in RNAcentral is "processed transcript". Lineage: Eukaryota; Metazoa; Chordata; Mammalia; Primates; Hominidae. The record is from RNAcentral.
AACAGAUGUUUUAUUGAAUGCCUAAGACCUGCCAAUGCUAUGUUGGUACAAAGACUACAAAUCCCAGUGCCUGGCCAUCAAGGUGAUCAGGGGCAAAAUGUGCCUAGUGAGUAAGGAUGAGUCAGGGGUGACAAUAUGUUGAGCUUGGAUGAUGGAAAGAAAGAUAAAUCCAUGAGAGAUGAAAAACUUUCAUCUUUUUCCCACAUGAUGAUUUUGAGCAUCUUUGUAUUUUCUAACUUGGUGAUUAUCAAGUGAAGCAGAAGCCAUGACCAUUUAUAUACUGUAUAUGUGCCUUUCCCAUGGAACUUUUUUAGGGCACUAAGAAUUUCAAAUUCUAAGAAUGAAAUGUUUUCAUGUCUUUUUUAUUCAGGGAAAUGAAAAAGAAAAAACUUCCAAGUGACUCAGGAGAUUUAGAAGCGUUAGAGGGAAAGGAUAAAGAAAAAGAAAGUACUGUACACAUUGAAACUCAUCAGAACACAAGCAAAAAUGUUGCGGCUGUGCAGCCAAUGAAACGAGGACAAAAGAGUAAAAUGAAAAAAAUGAAAGAAAAAUACAAAGACCAGGAUGAAGAAGACCGUGAACUUAUCAUGAAGUUGCUGGGG